This 459-nucleotide ribosomal RNA is filed under the name uncultured bacterium. RNAcentral describes it as "partial 16S ribosomal RNA". It matches the Rfam family "Bacterial small subunit ribosomal RNA", at positions 338 to 795 of the family's 1533-position model. The record is from RNAcentral.
CCUACGGGAGGCUGCAGUGAGGAAUAUUGGUCAAUGGGCGCGAGCCUGAACCAGCCAAGUCGCGUGAGGGAAGACGGUCCUAUGGAUUGUAAACCUCUUUUGUCGGGGAGCAAAAGACGCCACGCGUGGCGUUCCGAGAGUACCCGAAGAAAAAGCAUCGGCUAACUCCGUGCCAGCAGCCGCGGUAAUACGGAGGAUGCGAGCGUUAUCCGGAUUUAUUGGGUUUAAAGGGUGCGCAGGCGGAAGAUCAAGUCAGCGGGAAAAUUGAGAGGCUCAACCUCUUCGAGCCGUUGAAACUGGUUUUCUUGAGUGAGCGAGAAGUAUGCGGAAUGCGUGGUGUAGCGGUGAAAUGCAUAGAGAUCACGCAGAACUCCGAUUGCGAAGGCAGCAUACCGGCGCUCAACUGACGCUCAUGCACGAAAGUGUGGGUAUCGAACAGGAUUAGAUACCCGUGUAGUC